GAUGAACGCUAGCGGCAGGCCUAACACAUGCAAGUCGAGGGAGAAGCCCUUUCGGGGGCAGAAACCGGCGCACGGGUGCGUAACGCGUAUGCAACCUACCUUUCACAGGGGGAUAGCCCGAAGAAAUUUGGAUUAAUACCCCAUAAUAUUGUUGGAUGGCAUCAUUUGGCAAUUAAAACUGCGGUGGUGAAAGAUGGGCAUGCAUCCUAUUAGCUAGUUGGAGUGGUAACGGCACCCCAAGGCUACGAUAGGUAGGGGUCCUGAGAGGGAGAUCCCCCACACUGGUACUGAGACAGGGACCAGACUCCUACGGGAGGCAGCAGUGAGGAAUAUUGGUCAAUGGUCGGAAGACUGAACCAGCCAUGCCGCGUGCAGGAAGAAUGCCUUAUGGGUUGUAAACUGCUUUUAUAUGGGAAGAAUAAGGCGUACGUGUACGUUGAUGACGGUACCAUAUGAAUAAGCAUCGGCUAACUCCGUG
This 478-nucleotide ribosomal RNA is filed under the name uncultured bacterium. RNAcentral's name for it is "partial 16S ribosomal RNA". It matches the Rfam family "Bacterial small subunit ribosomal RNA", at positions 28 to 507 of the family's 1533-position model. The record is from RNAcentral.